This is a long non-coding RNA of Gambusia affinis (western mosquitofish), 14095 nucleotides long. RefSeq lists it as uncharacterized. The transcript is spliced from 5 exons. Lineage: Eukaryota; Metazoa; Chordata; Actinopteri; Cyprinodontiformes; Poeciliidae. The record is from RefSeq and is a predicted model, not a curated record.
GACUGUGCAGGUUCAAAGUGGUUACUUUUGGAAAAAUAUGGACUUGUUCCUUAAGGUCUCCAUGUUAUUUAGUUUUAUUACGUUUGCAUGCUUCUUGUGAAGAGCUGGAAUGGCAUGGUGUUUACAGCAGUGUGUAUAGGCAGAUCAGUUGCUCGGCUGUUUGGCUCUUGUCUGCCCACUCGUUCCCAUACACUCGCUCUUUGAGGCUGAAUACAGAUGUGAUUCACACAGGAGACUGCUCCUUUAUUUAUCAUCCCCCGUAGUUUUAGGCUGAAGAAGCUAAUCCGGAGUGAGGUGAAGGUUGCAAAUUUUGUUGUCCAGUGAAUAUUUACGAGCCACCGUCUUCUUAAUUCAGGGUCCAUGAAAACUUUGAAAGCCGAUUAUAUUAGGAAAACAACAAUGUUCGCAGUAUUGCUUUAUGUCUGCAAUAUGACUUUGUCUUUUCUAGCUGUCAUGGUAACACACAGCGGUUCUGUAUUUCACUCAUGCGGAUGUGACGUCAGCGCCGUACGUGCAAAGACCCCAUUGAGAAAGAGAAUACAAAUCAAUAGACACAUAAAUCAAAUAAUUAAAGAACUGAGAAAACAUAUUUCUAUAUUGAGAAAAUUCUGAAAUGAUAGAAAUAUCUAAAACUUCUAAAACAUGUCCCAGGAGUCUGCAGUCUUUACAAUCUAAUGAGUAAAAUAAAACACGUUUAGAUUAUAAAUCUAAACAAUUAUAAAGGUCACAUGACCUUUAUAAUUGUUUAUCAUUUUUUGGUAAAUAGAUGCUAUAGAUUAAAAAAAACCCCACCAUUCUGGAAGAGAAAAAUAAAAAUAGAAAUUGAUACAUUUUGUACCAAUUUUCAUCCCAUCGUUUAAAUAUACGAUCGGUGAAAUCGUAGGUAUAAAAAGUAUAUAGUUUCCAACCUAAAGUAGAAAAAGUAAAUCCAGAAAAAAAUUACUGGUCCUUUUACUGACAUUAUUUAAUUAUUCCAUGACAAACUGAAAAAAAAAUCCUUAAAACCUGUAUUUGCUGUUAAAUCUAAAUUAGUUGGUCCUCAGCCAAAGCUAUUGAAAACCAUUGUGGAAGGUUGGAGAACCCCGCAUAAACCGUAAUAUUUAACAUAGAAAUAAAAAUAAUGUAGAAUAUUUGUAAUAAUAAAUAAUGCUAUUGAAUUGUAUAAGCAGUAUUUGCCUCUAAAUAAUUUGAUUAUUAUUACCUGUUUCUUUAUAUGGUAGUAGUGCACCUUCUGUACUUGAUCUCAGUUCAUUCAUCUACCAACUUCCUGCUCUUCUACCUACCCAGUCAUCUCCUCUGUCCCCUCCCCAGUGACCCUCACCCUUCCCCUGUCCCUUGACUUUCCUCCCCUGCGUUUUCCUUGCCCGGUUUUCUUGCCUAUGGAUGAUACAGGAUACCCAUGCUCCAAUUUCACCCUCUCAUCAUGACAUCCAUUAAAGUGGCGCUCAGUCCUGGGCCCCUGUUGGCCUGACAGCACAUUAGCCCUCGGCCCAUUGAACGCCAACAAGGACCAGCUCUGAAUUAUUGAUACCAACACAACUAAUGAAGAAACCCUAUCUCAGCUCUUUUUUAUUUCUCUCUCUUUCUCACACACAGACACACACACCUCUACACACACAGUUUGAAUGCCCAGAGAAACAUACACACACAGCUUUUUUGAUGUUAACUAUCAUCCCACCUGCUUGCAUCUCAUUUAGAGAAACGCAUAUUCUCAGUUCCUGCAGAACACUGAAUUCCUGUUCUUUUCAACAAAAUGUUUGCUCGGUUGCCCAAAAUGCUGAUGAGGGACUGUUGAUAUUUUUCUCUUUGAUUCUAGGUGAUAUUUGCAUAUUUAUAUCUACAGGUGCUUUGUUUUUAGGAGCUUUUUGUCAUAUGAUUUUAUACAGUCUCUGAUAAGUCUGAUUGGGUGUUUGUGGCAUUAAAGUCUGCCUCUGUUUACAUACAAAGUCAUACAGCGUCUUUCAAAACAAUUCAACCAUUUUACAUUUUUUCACAUUGCAGCCAAACAUUGAAUUUUAUGAAAAGAACUUACACAAAUUUGUGCAGAAUUGUCAAGUGCUAGGAAAAUGAUGCAUGGUUUCCAAAAUGUUUUCUCAGUAAAAGCAUUUCAAUCAUUGACACUCACAUUUUGCUGCAAUUAUUAGGGUUGUUGAUCUGAUGUAAGGUGAACAUCUGACCUAGCCUCAUGUCUUCUUGAGCUUCUAUCACAGUAAUGACUGUAGUUAGAAGGAUGUGUCAUAAUGUUUUAGAUUUGUUCCUGGUUCAACACUCCUGAAUCAAAUGAUGGAAUAUUUCCAAGCCUUUGUAGAUCUUGAGUCAGCUGUGUUGGAGCAGGGACCAAAAUGAGAACUGCAAUUCACUGAUGCUUCAGAAGCUGCCCAGCAUUUAGCUUGAUCAGUCUUCUGGUCAAAUAACUCAGAGCAGUGUUCCUGUCCAUGCUGAAGAAUAUCAUCCUCCUGUAUGACUCUGUAAAAUCACGUUUCACCCAAAUACAGAGUGUUCAGUAUGAUAUGAUGUGGUGUUUUUUCCAUAAAACAGUGUCUUUCCAUAAAAACAGUGUUUUGCGAGAGAAGGUCCACAAAAUUAGUUUAAUUCUUCUUACAAGACGUCUUGUGGUUUCUUUACAGUAACAACUUUGGAAGAUUAGAGUCAGUGACCAUGUGUACACAAGUUUCUAAUAUACUUCCUUCUAUUCAUCCCAUCAUCUAUACCAGCCGUCAAAGGUAAUGCAGUAGCUGGUGCCUAUCAGUGGUCAUUGGGCAAUAGCGUGUGUGUGUGCACCCCCGCACACACACACGCCUAACUAACAAUAAUGAUUCUUGACUAUUGGAAGAACAUAAAAUAUCUAUGUAGAAAUACUCCAGACCUUUAUUCAAACAUAGGACCUUCUGGCUUAAAAGGAAAUGUAUUACCAACUGCUCCACCUUGCUAAUAUAAGACAAUAAGAGUUUCUCAAAAACUAUUUUAUAAUUUCUCCUUUAACAAAAAUUUCCAGAAAUGUCUUCACUCAUACCAAAAACAAACAACCAAGGUAGAUGAUCUUUUAAAGUUUUUUCUAAUUCACUGUAGCAAAUCCCUGAAACACAGAACAGCUGGAUUGAUACUGAAAUUACACUACAUAGGUGGACUUUUUCCUGUUUUACUUUUCGGGCGCGAUGGUGGCGACGGCAGUAAGAGUUUGCCCUGCAGGUGGACGAUUCAAUUCCCACUCCAUCCACCUCAGUUGUGUCCUUGGGAAAGAAGCUUGAUCCACCUUGCCUGCUGUUGAUCAGAAGAGCCGAUGGCAGAAGCCUGUGGCAGGCUGGGCAGCUGUGGCAGCAAUUCAGUAGCUUGCCACUGAUCAUCAGUGCACAAAUGGAAAUGAUUGGUUUUAUUGUAAAGCGUCUUUGAGAACCCUUUGAGGAUUGAAAAGGACUGCAUAAGUCUGACAUCAUUUCAUUAUUUAAUUUCCCUUUGGUACCAAUGAAGUAUUUUUUAAUUUGAAUUGAACUUGAAUUUUCUAAUUUGGUGAUAAAGUGACUUCUAAAGGGAAUUCACUUCACUAUAUUGAUUUUGAGGUAUCAAAGUAAAACACACUGAAUGGCAUAAUUUCCUAAAUUCUAUUUGACAAAAGUUUAAAAAUCAUACAUCAUCAUACAUUUCUUCCACUCUACUGUAUAUCUCAUAUAAUUAAAACAAAACACACUCAGGUUCAAGGGGUUUGAAGUCAUUUCCAAGGUACCAUGGAGGUAUGCAGCGGAGCUCCUUCACAGAGAGGUACUGGAGGUGUCAGCCCAUCUCCUUAGUAUUCACUCCAACAUCCUUUGACUCACAGCCUCAGCCUGAGAGCGUGAGAAUGAAAGUGGGAGAAUACAGUUAGAAAAUAAAAAAGCAAAACAUCAGACAGCUUUCUGCUGUCGCCUCAGGCUCACGUGGUUAUAUCUGUUGUGUUUGCAAGCAGGCCAGCCCAAGGGGAUUAGUUUUUUUGACAGUUUUGUUAAGCCUUCUCUAACGCACCAAGCUAUUCGGUAAUGUCGGGGCUGUGAUUUUAGAAAACGUCUCUCCCAAGCUGUCCUAUGAUUUCUCCUUCAUGAAGGAGAAACUGGAAGGAGGAAGCAGUUCGGGAACAUGACAGCGGACAUUUUUCUGAGUGGCUUCUUAGUGUGGUGGAAUUGGACCAUAAAACAACUGUCUGUGAAGCUCCUCUUCAAUUAGUGAAUGCCUUGCUGAGGUCCUGCUUAAUUCUCUCCUGGCUCUGACAGCUUUCCUCUCUCUUUGUCUGCGUUUCCUUCUGGUCGUCUCUUCUUGUCUCCACGUCUCUUCAUCCCUCUGUCAGUUUGUGUUUAGUUUAAUCUCUCCCCCUCCUUUUUCUGCUUCCUCCGCUCUGUCGCUUCCCAUUUCAUCUCUUCUUUUUUUUUCCCCUGGCAUCCCCCCCACCCACCAUUCCUCUCUUCCCCACAGCUCUCCCUGUCUGAAUUCCAAUCCCUCUGACAAAAGCUCAGACGAUAAAAUGUCUAACUUUGCUUGAAAGGGUCAGGAGAUGGAAGGAGGGAAGGACAAAUAAAAGGUUAAUCCUUUAACAAGUCCACAUAGGUGUGGAGUCAAAGGACAGAGAGAGAGGGGAGGGCAGGAGAGGGAAGAGGUGGAGAACAAGUGCUGUAAACAGAUGUAGGAGACUGGGCUCUUACAGGGGGUGAAUGUGAAAAAUGAGAGGGAGAUGGCAUUUUCAGUCAAGCUCUGUCUCUCUGUUAGAGAAUUUUCGGAAUUAUCAUUUUGUUUUUACUUUAGGUGAAAUUCAGUCUAAUUAAAGUGUUCUCUUUCCUUGUGUGUAUCUUCUGACCUGGAGGUCAGGCUUGCCUGUUAAUUCUGUGUUCUCAGACCCUAAAUUCUUAUCAACCAGAAAGCCCUCUAAACUGCCUGUGAGCAGUCGUAUUUUGUUUUGUUAACAGCUUGACCGAGAUUUGAACCGGGCUCAGAUCGCAGAUUAGUUAUCACACCUGGAAAUGGGUUGCUGGUUGUUUAGGUUACAUGUUUUACGACCUCUGUUGUUUUUACUAAUUGCCCCUUGGCUGUUUUUCUUUGACAAUAAAACAGGAGCUCGGGUGGAAGGAGAUCAGAACUCUUUCUGAACGGCUUGGAGAAGCUGUUCGGAGAAUUCUCCUUUUGCAAAAGCUUUAUCAUAAAAUUCAUAUAUACGUUGUCUGUGGUUCUUUAUUUAGGUUCAAGGAAAAGUACCUAUCAUUUUGGUGCGAAACCGGGAUCUCUCCUCCCCGCUGCCAGGCAGAGGAAGACGCGCUGAAUCCGUGUAUGCGGCCAGAGUCAACUGGACCUGGAAAGAAAGACCAGGAAGCAAAUUCUUCGCUGGGCCAGCUACGCAUGUCCGACUUUGUCUGCCAGCGGAGUGGCGAGAUCCGACUGGACAACCAGACAACUACAGAAACGAGGCCACUCCAAUCGAGCAAGGUGAUUGGGUCUACAUAAAGGUCAUCAAACGAAAGAACUGGGCGAGUCCACGGUGGGAAGGACCGUUCCAGGUGCUGAUGACCACACCAACAGCCGUAAAGAUUGCUGAAAGACCCACAUGGAUUCAUCUCAGUCACUGCAAGCUACAGAGAAUGUUUGAUCCCUAAAGUCGGAGUAGAGAGGAAGGAGAGCUUUUUAAAAAGCUCCCGGGGUAAACAGGGGGACUACAUUAUAGUUGUAGUUCGUUUGGAACCCGGUGAAGAAACGCUAAGAUUCUCACUCCUUUAGUUUGGGGAUAUUUGACAUCCCUGCACGCCGAGCAGUAAUGGAAACUCCAUAUGCCAGAUGAAUUUUCUACUGUAUUGUGACAGCUGUAUCUUUGAUGUUUGGAGAAGGAAACGAGCCUGAGCUUCAUCCGCAUGACUACAGUACGAAUCUGUGGUGGAAGCUGAUGAAUAGAACCGCUUAUGAGGGACAUGCUGUGAACUGCUACGUGUGUGCGCAGAUGCCGGUUUCCAUACAUAACUCAGGUCUACGACCAGGUAACAUUACUGACGACAAACAGAUGUGUCUCUACGUUCUAAGCACCAGACCACGGCGUAUCCCACCCCUAAGAGGAGACAGACCACGUGAGGAGGACUAUUCAGUUGACCUCCGGAUGGGGAGAGGCUGUGAAGCCUCUUUCAAUCUUUAAAUUGUUCACUUGCAGAUGAUGUACUUCCUUUUUCGUCAUCUCAACAAACUGUAUGGAAAAUACCAGAGAUCAUUUCGUUAGCAGGAGCUAAACCAGGAUCUCUAGGGAACUGUGUUUAUAAUAAUGGACAUGUUGUUCUAGGGACGGUGCCCUGGAAUUUGUGUAACAGAGUUUACACCUACUGCAAACCGACACAGGAUUUAAUCACCUGCACAGCAUGCAGGGGUCAAGAGACGACUCCACGCUGCAAAGUCUGGAAGGACAACCCAGACUGUGACAACUUGCUUCAGGAGAGGAGUUUCAACAUCACGCAUAAGACAAAGAGGAAACAGGAGACAACACUGUGUAGCGCCAUAGUGCCAGGAGAUUAUGGCUCCCGAAUGUUGGCAGACUGGUACUUCAUAUGUGGAAAUGAAGCAUACAUGUUCUUGCCGAAAAAUUGGGGAGGACUGUGUGCUGUGGUUCCUUUGAUCAACCCGAUUGCAUUCAUCAGGAAAGCACAGAAUGAUCUACACACCCGCUCCAAACGAACAGUUACGUCAGAGGUCAAAAAAUGGGAGGCCUCACAACACAUACUGGAGUUCCAUGGGAAUUCCGGAUUUGGAACGGUGGAGAAAAAUUCAUGCAAAGCCUUUUUCCAUGGGUUGGUCUAGGAGAGAUUCGGGACCACGUUGAGAUAAACAGGUACGGAUUACUGCGACUAAUCAACAUCACAUACCAGCUGGCCAAUGGCACCAUGAAAGAACUGGCUGAACUGAGAAACAUGGUUAUGCAAAAUCGUGUUGUCUUGGACUUCCUCACUGCCCCUCAAGGAGGUGUCUGUAAAAUCGUUGGCCCAACGUGCUGUACUUAUGUACCUGACGAAACAGGAACUGGAGGAACUAUUUCUGACGCUCUAUACGAGCUGGAAGAUUUAAAACAGUCUUAUGAGUCGACUGAAGAUGACUUGUUCCAAGUUUCAGAUGAUUUUCUGAACAAUGAUGAAUUUCUGUAAUCAAUAAACAGAUGAUUUCAUUUGCUGAAUGACUCCUACAAAUGUGAAAACAAGUGGUGUUUUGGAUGAAAGAAAAACUGCAUUUGAUUUUUGCUGUUUCUUUUAUUUUUCAUUUAUUACUUUAUAUUUCAUUUGUUCAUUGUAUUUUCUGUUUAGGUUAGAAAAAAAACUCUUGCAUUUAUUGUUUUCUUUUUCUUCUUUUUCUUUUUUCUUUUCUAUGCUUUUGCAUGAAGUUUACACGCAUGUCGUAAAAUGAUAAAAAGGGGGGAAUGUUAGAGAAUUUUCGGAAUUAUCAUUUUGUUUUUACUUUAGGUGAAAUUCAGUCUAAUUAAAGUGUUCUCUUUCCUUGUGUGUAUCUUCUGACCUGGAGGUCAGGCUUGCCUGUUAAUUCUGUGUUCUCAGACCCUAAAUUCUUAUCAACCAGAAAGCCCUCUAAACUGCCUGUGAGCAGUCGUAUUUUGUUUUGUUAACAGCUUGACCGAGAUUUGAACCGGGCUCAGAUCGCAGAUUAGUUAUCACACCUGGAAAUGGGUUGCUGGUUGUUUAGGUUACAUGUUUUACGACCUCUGUUGUUUUUACUAAUUGCCCCUUGGCUGUUUUUCUUUGACAAUAAAACAGGAGCUCGGGUGGAAGGAGAUCAGAACUCUUUCUGAACGGCUUGGAGAAGCUGUUCCGGAGAAUUCUCCUUUUGCAAAAGCUUUAUCAUAAAAUUCAUAUAUACGUUGUCUGUGGUUCUUUAUUUAGGUUCAAGGAAAAGUACCUAUCACUCUCCUUCAUGACUUCCACUCUGCAUGAUGACAAGUGUGUACCGUCGCUCCCAUUGGCCAAGUCUGCCACCAAUCAGAGCAGAGGCAUGUAAGGUGCCUUUAGGUUAUACCCAGCCCCAAAAACAAGAAGCAGAGAGAAAGUGAGACUGGGAAAAGAGAGUGUGUGUGUGUGUGUGUGUGUGCGUUUUGGUGCAGGUGUGUGUGUGUUUUUCUGUGCGAGACCAAAGCAGGUGCUGCCUUUACAUAGCAAGGAGGACGUUCCCCAGUUUUUUUUGUUUUCUUUUGAAGCCUCCUGUGAAAUGGUACAGAUGAAAGGAAAGUGCUUGUCAGCUGUUUGCUGGAGACCACUGCAUUUCCUCUUGGCUGCUGUGGAGUAGAAGAUCAGGGCUCUGUAGCCCUCCCCCUUGUGAUUGGCUGUCACACUUUAGGCUCAACCUCCCUACCCCCCUCGCUCUCCUCUCUCUUUCUCCCUUCACCGUCCUCUGCUCCUCACACUGUCCUCAGGCAUACCUGAGCCACCGCUGCAGAAACACUGGAUCCCCCCCCCUCCUCAUUCGCGCACUAACAUAUCCACACUCACACUCACAAGAGCACCGACGGGCUCUCUGUUCCACACACACAGUCUUUCACCUGGAGAGGGCAGGCGCAAGGGACGACAUGUGCAGCAGCAGUAGCAGCAGCAGCAACAGCAGUCUGUCUCCACAUCCAGCACUGCCUCUCUGAGUUGCGUCUUUCCGGAGAGUGGAAGGGGGGGGGACGACUCUGAAUUUUUAUUUUUUGGGGGUUUUUUUGGAGCAUUUUUGUUGUUGUCUCUCGGCAAAAGCAGGAGAGACUCGGGCAAGUGGGGGGGAAACACCUGCCAACCCCAGGGGAUACCAAAGGCAACACAAACCCACACAGCAUGAUUCUGGACCCCGUGUUUCUGUGGUUCUGAUACUGCUCAGGAUGUAAACCAGCUGGCCUGAUGGAAAAAGACAGAGAGGCUGCCUGACAGCCGGGGUGCUGUGUGUGUGCAUGGUGCAGAACAAGGACUUCCCAGCCCACCCUAUGGAUCUCUAGAAGCAUCUCACCUCCUUCACAUGAAAGGAUUCAAAGCACCUGCGUUUGACAACCCCUCCCCUAACGAGUGCAGCAGCAGCACGCCUCCAUACGACGGACCCCUCACUCCCCCCCUCAGCAUCAGCAGUAACUUUGCCCUGAAGCAGGAGCCUUCUCCACAUGAAUCAGAGAGGAACUACACACCCCACCCUGGUCAACAUGCCCACUACCUCUCAGCCCACCACUUCCCCACUUCCACAGCUGGCAGCCUACCAGGCAGGGCUCAGUCUCACCCGAUCUUUCAAGCUUCUCGUUACGAGUUACCCCUGGAUGUGGCCUUUGAGUCUUUCACUCCUUCUCACCUGGUCACUGCUCAGAUGGGCACCAUCUAAGACUGAAUGAAACCAGUAAGUGACUGGUCAGAAACUGUCCUCAGAAGUGAAUCUGCCACUGAACAAGUUUUUGGACUGGCUGUGCAAAAACAAAAAAAGGUUUAUGCUGAACCCACUGGGUUCAGAGAGACUUUUCACCUCAACUGAGUCUACCUGAUGCAAACAUGCGACCAUGUUUAUCCUUUUAUUUAUUGCUUUCCUGUUUGAUCUUGCAUUGGUGUUUGAACUCUUAAUUAUUUCCGAACAUUUGCCCUGCAGUUAUGAAAGAGUCAAACUAACCAUAACCAACAUAUCUUUGCUCAUGCAGAAGUAAAAUACAACUAUCUGAUGUUUGAACUCAAGAGCUCUGAGAAUAAAUUGAUCCAAAAGUCAUCCUGCUCAAAUAUGUGCACAAAGGUCUUGAUUUUUAAGAAAGCAACUAUUUAUAUAUGUAUUUAAUAUUUAUUCUGAUAAUGUCUUGUCUUCUUUUUUUACAUUCUUCUCUGCACAGUUUAUGUAUUUCCGUCUCCUUGGUUUGUUGCCAUCCAUUGGUAGCUGUACUUAGCUAUUUAUUUUGAGGUUUUUCAGGUGACUUGUUCAUAUUUGUGUUGCCAUUUUUGUCACAUGUACUGUUAAUAUUUUGCUGUUUCGCACUUACUGAAAUAAAUAUUCUUAUAUUAUAUGCUAUUUCCAUAGUAACACUGUGUGACAAGCAUUUUUUUUAUAUUUUAGAAUACCAUAUUUUUCUUUAUAUUUUUGGCAAAGGCAUCACUUCAUGUUACUGUGGAGUUUCUCUCGUAACAGACAGAUUUAUUCUUUUCACAUUGAAUUUGUCAAAGAAGUAAGAAAUUAGUUUUCUUUCAUACCUUGCUAUUAGUAGGUGUGUAAAAAAUACAUUUGUGACCCCUUGUGGUUUUUAUUGCACCAAUAAAAGGUCAUAAGCCAGUGAUUCAUAGUGCCGGUCCCAAGUCUUCUGAUAAACGGAGACAGGUUAAGUCAGAAAGGGCAUCCAAUGUAAAACUGAAGCCAAAUCAAAUAUGACAACAUGAACUCCAUACCAAAUCGGUCAAUCCCCAGGUUAAUAAAGAACAUCUCUUGUCCUGUCCUAUGGAAGUUGGACUAAUGUUUCUUGAGAUAAAGUCAAAGAAACCAGACUGAGAUUGUUUCAAUAUUUUCAGAGGUGAAGCAAUGUUUAUUGGCAGUAGGAUGAGAAUAAGACCAAAAAGACAAUUUAUGUAGAAGAGUUUUGUUUGAAAUACACAAAAUUACAGAAACAGUGGGGAAAGAGGAAAUGAAGCUGGUUGGUGUGAAGGUAGAGGAUGCACAGGAUGAAACUAAAUUGAGACAAUUUGGUGAGGUGACCCCUGAACAUAAAAGCCAAUAAAAGAGAUGCAAAAUGACAUUUCUUGUUAAAGUAUUCUACACCAUGUGACUUUAUCGAGUUUUCCACUUUACAACCACAAUCUUCAAUUUAGUUGAUAAGAAUUUUAAUUGAUAGACCAAUUAAGAUAAUAAAUAAACAAAACAGAAAAUUAUAUAUGGUUUUAAUUGGUUUUAUAAAUAAAAAUCUGACAGGGGCAUUUGUUUCCACUCUCCCUGAAGCAAAGGUUUUGGAUGACAUAUUUUGCUGCACCAACAGUUUAAUGACUUUUGUGUUAUAUUUCUAAAAAAUUUAACCAUCAAGAAACAAAGCCUUUUGCUAUUCCUUUUUUUGUUGCAAAACAUUGUUGAACAUCAAUGAUCAAGUCUUGCCAUGGAUAUUUAAAGAGGCUUUGACUUUUAUGACCAUAGUAAAUCUUUUAAUAUUAACAAUUCCAGAAUCUGUCCAUCUUCCAAUCAACUCUGAGCAGCUUCUAGUCUAUGAUAAAGCAUCCACACCAUAUUUGGUUACCUUGCACUAUUAUAUGGGAUAGUAUAUCAGGAAGAUGCACUAUUUAAUUGGUUUUUAUAAAUAAAACCAAUCUUUAUGAUAAAUCUUGUUUGCAUCUAAGAGAAAAUGCAAAAGUUUUAUCUAGUUUGACCAGAACACUUUCUUUCACAUGUUUGCUUUGACCUACAGCUUGCUGGUUUUAAAUCACAAACAUUACUUAUUUUAGGUUUCUUUUGACAACUCUCUCAUAUUUCAAUUGUAGCUUACCAGGCCUGACAAGGUAGACAACCAUGCGUUUGCAGGAGGGCCAUACUUUGUAUUUUGUGAAAUGUUAAAAGGCUGGAAUAUUGUUUGUAUAACACAACUCUGCUUUGAACCUCUCCACAACUAUUUUCCUGCCAUGUUGUUGCACUGGGUUUUGUUUAGGCCUACUAGAGUAAAGUAAGAUAAAUUUAUAUGCAAUUUUUGAUAACAAGGUAGCCUUUUGUCUUCCAUGCAAGUUUUUGAUGAUUCAAGCAGCAUUCAAUCUUCAGAAAACACAUUAAACUUUAUGCUUGCAUCUUCAAAACUGCAGAAAAGUUGAAGUUAAAAAUGCUUUUGAAUGGGAAAUACAUUUACUGAUUUAUCUGCUUUUGGAUUUAGUUUUUAACAAGAUGUGCAGAUUUCUUACUAGCAGAGGAGAAGUUGCUGACUUGUGCCAGCAAACCAUCUGUUCUGUAAUCAGAACAAGGACAAGUAGUACAAAAAUGGAAUCUGAUUCUAUUUGAUUUGAAUCAUUUUAGCAUUUGCUAAAGCAAUGAUAAAAGGGAACUGUUGCAGAAUGUGAGCAUCUGUGUGCCAGUCUGUGUAUGAUGUCACUCAGUGACUUGGCUCCAGGCUUUCUCUCAGGUCAGAUGGGAGGCUGUUGUUGUGGGCCAUGGGAAAAACAGCUCUGGGGAACAGGUGAACAUGUCACAAGGGGUUUUUCUGAGCUCCUCUCAUUCACUUUUCUCUCACAUGUGCCCCAUUUUCCCAUCAGGCUCAUGCCAAAACACCGUGGGGCGAGAGAUCAUGGAAAAAAAAUAAAAUAAAAAUAAUUGGUACAUGUUUGCCAGAGUGUGGGAAAACGAGAAGGCACGGAAAAUGAUUAUGAUUUAAAUUGACAGUAAAACAUUGUAUCCUAUUCUUUUAUCAAAAUGGAAGAGUACAGUUUUAUGAAGUCUAUUUAGAGAUGAAAAUCAGAAUAGGCUAUUAAUAACAUAAUAAUGGCCAAAGUAGUUUUGACUUCAAUCAUCACCCUAAACACUACAAUGAGACUUCAAAUAAACAAAAAACAGGAAGCCAAAGUGGAAAAAAAUGACUAGGAAGAGUAGGAGCUGGUUUGUGAGCGCAAGUUUCUUCCUUCUGGCCGGUGGGCAAUUGUGUGAAUGGGAAGUUGUUGUCCGAAAGGACUUUCCACCUCUUCAUCUACCUCUCCAAAAUGUUUGUCUUUUCCAGUUCUGACAAAAGUGCCAAGAGGCUUUCAAAGAAAAGGGAAUUAUUGUUUUAGUGGGCGCCACUGGUCUAUUGUCGACGCAGCCUGUUCUUUCUCUUGACCUGUGACCUGUAUUGUUGUUAGGAUUCUUGUUCGGGGAGAGCAGACAGCUGGGGGAGCGGCAGGGGGGCUGAUGGACAGCUGGGACAAUUUUGAAGAGAGGAAGAGAGAAGAGAAGCGAGAGCAUGAGGGGAGAAGGACGAGAGAGAGGGAAAAUGAAGAGCUUGUUGUGGACAAAUAGAAAGGCCAGAUGAGGUGACGGAGGUCCCCGCUCCUCAUUCACAAGUUUGUCCUCUUUGCUCUUGUGGGUCAGCGUUGGCACAGGAGUGACACAUAGCUAUACAGGCAGACACUCAGCCUGUGAGAAAGUAGUGGCAGAGUUUGCUGGCGCACUCUCUCUUUGUUGCUUUGCUUUUUGUUGUAACAAAAGUGGUAGGAGGGGGGCAGGGAAUGUCAAUUAUCCUAGAGUCCAAAUACAUGGAUAUGGAAAUAAUCCCAGUAAACUGACUUUGGGUACAAGAUUACAAAACAUAGAGGCAGAUGAUGUUAUAGGGUGAGGCUUGGAAGAGAGUAUAAUGGUCAAACAAGACAAUUUUUUAAGAUUUAUGGUCUACGUCUGAAUAAGUUUUCCCUUAAAACUCUGGGUAACAUGGCAACACUUUACAAGUCAUAGUUGGCUGAGCGCAGAGUUUAUUUCAUCAAGAAAACAACACAUUUUAGGGUUUGUGUUUCAGAUAUGUGUUGACUUAAGGUCCUAAACAGGACUUUGUUAAGUGAUCAUUACUGGGAGUUCCUGGUGACACUCUGUCCCUGAUACCUGUAUUUGUUCACCUGUCGAUGACUACGACAACCGCUCCCCAACAAGACACAUGACUACAUUUUACAUGGCUAGUUUUUAACAGCACCUGCCUAUUUUCUUGUGCAGAGAGUUUUUAUUAAGCACAUCUAGCUAACACUGGAGUUGAGCCCUUAUUUACUUUCUGAAAUGACUGAGGUAGCCCUGACAACAGCCCUGUCCUAUUGUCAAAUAUGCUCCUUAAAUACAGUAACCUAAAGAUGAGUACAUUGUGGUAACAAAGGGAUGUGCAACAAUGCUCUACAGGACUGUAGUGUUAAAGCAAUUUUCAGUUGGGACUAAGGGGUGCAAAAUGUAUCAACAAAUAUUCAAAGCACUUCUUGCUGAUGGAUAAUAUUUCUUAGACAUAAUUAAAUUUUCUUACAGAAAUUGUCAGCAUUUCAAAACAUUUUAUCUGAAAUGCUGAAUAUCAAUGUUUUAUAACAUUCCUAUGUGCCAGCAGGAAUGUUAUAAAACGUUCCUGGUAGUAGAUACACAUCACUGGAUGGUCAAUAUAAAAUGUCCUCUAGCAGUUGUCUCUUCAGGUACUGUGAAGAGCACAACAUAAAUA